CUCGAUGUUUUGAAGUUUGGCUCUUUAGAUAUGUAGAGUCACUCACUACACAGAAAGGAGCCGGCCACUCCCAUGUGAAAAUGACUAAUUAACUUUUCUUUAUUUUUACAAUCUUAUUCCUAAUGGGAUUCGGUUCAUUUACUAUAUAUUGAAGUAGUUAACUUAACUGAAUGUUCCCAAAAGAAAAAAAUAGCUAACUGAAAGAAACAUGGAAAUAUUGAAUAGACAACUAAAAGUUUAGAAAAUAGCUAGCAAAAUAACAUCCAAAAUAUCCAAAAAUAUGAAGAACUAUCAAAACUUAUUUGAAAUAUCCGAGCAUAAAUAUUUAAUCUUUAUUGUGUGACAUGAAACAUGCGGAUCAUCGUUAUAAGUUUUGAUUAUUGGAAGUUUAGUGUGAUUUUUAGAUGUCAGUUUCAAAUGCAUGCAUUGCUCGCACUCGAAUUUAACCGCGGUUAGAGCCGUCAAAUUUUCAAAACUGACAAAAAAAAAAAACUUGUGCAAUAUAAAGAUAACAUGAUUGAUAUUCAACGUAGAUUUCGUAGCUACUAUACCAAUGAAUCAAUCCAGAUGACGGCCUAUAAAAUUCAGGGAUUUAAUAGUGGGCUCCAAGCCCGCAUGUUGAAUUAGAUACAGUCCAUGUAAGACUAUAUUAAACCGACAUAAUCAAUUAAUCAUCAUAAGCUGGUCACAGAGUCACAUGACUCGUCCGUAUUGGACCAGACCUCUGGGAUUACCGCAAGUCGCAACAUCUCUAACAAAACCAAACCACCUCUGACGUGCCGACCUGUAUUUCGCAUCGUCUAAAAGCAAAGAUAAACACAGAUGGUAAAAGUAAAACACGUGAAUAUUCUUCAUUUUCUACACAUAUUUUUACAAUAGAAUCUUCGAUUGGAACAGGUAUAAAUUAAUCUUGAUUGAUCCCAAUAUAUAAAAGAGAUCUAUAUAUAUAAAAAUAUGUUCGCCUCACUCCUGCUUUGCCACGUCAUAAAGUCGGUUUCUGACAAGCCGACUCGUGUCCGGUUUGGGAUGAUACUCACCGUUUCACUCAAUCGCAAUUAUUAAUGGGCUUUUCUCUUUUUGUUAAUAAAUAUUUUAGAUCGGUGUUUUGAGCUUAACAUAAUUGGGAUUCUGGGCUGUAAAGUAACACAUGAGGGGGUCCCACAUGAGACGGCUUCUUCUCCAAAAAUAAUGUCGACGAACGAAAGACAGAUCUGCUGCGUUUUAACAACUCCGGUUCAAACCUACGGCCAAUGAAGAUUUGCUGCACCGGCCACGCUGAAUUCCGAUCAAGGUCAGUUGGAAAGCGUCGUAUUUGGCUGUUCGAUUCCACUUCUUCUACCCUUGAUUGAAUUUUGGAACCGUUACAGAAGUCGGUUGGAUUCAUGCAUCCUCAUUGACUAUCACAUUAAAUCAUUCAAUGAACCCCCUCAUUAAAACAUUUUAACUCAAAUAUAACUAAUCUUAACAUAAAUAAUCCUUCGACAUCCUAAAAUUCUCAAAACCCAUAAACAUUAUUAUAUACUUCUCUUAACAAAAUGUUACAAAACAUACAUACAAAGGGAAUAUACAAUUACAUCACAAAAAAAAACAUGAAUUACUUUAGGAAUGACUUCAAGUUUUGAGUCAUAUUCGCAAAAAAAACUCUUAAAUAAGUUAGUUUAAUUAAGAAUAUUAUAAAACAAAACAUUUGAAUUAAAAUAAAUAUUAAAAAUAUAAUGUUAUUUAUCAGAGAAUAGUGAAAUGUACUAUCAUUAUAAUUCAAAACAAAAAAAAUAAUUAUAAUGAUCUCAUAAGUCUUUCAUUAUUUUUUCGUGUAUAAUAUUUUUUAAUCUAUCAUAAUUUUAAAUUACUUCAUAAAUUAUUAUAAAAUCACUUUUAUUAUAACUUCCCGCCCGUAGGGCGGACCGGUCCUAGUUCCAAUAAAUAAAAAGGACUGAGAGAGUGUUUUCAGCCUAUCCACUUCAGACUAAAAAAUCAACCAAUCACGAAGCUUUAUAGUUCCACGUCACAUCUAUAUUUUGUCGACAAAGAAUAUAACCGGGCCAGUAAAUUUGGGCUGAACAAAAUUGAAAGUAGCCUUCUAUGGAAUAGCCCAUCUCUUUUUCUAAGCAGAAUGUUCGUACCGCUCUUGCUCUUGCUCUUGCUCCUAUCUUCAUUAGAAUAUCUUUCCACCUCCCUUUGUUUCUCCUCUUAUAUAAACCCCUUGAUGAUAAAACAGGUCCGUUAACUAUUGUUAUCCGAGCCGAGUUAUCUAAAAUACGAACCCUCGACUCGAGAUUCAUUACACCACGACGAUUUGUUGUUCUCUACCUCUGAAAGUCAGAGUCGAGAAAGUUAUAAAGUAAGAUGAGCAAGAAAUAAAAGAGUAAAAAAAAAGAAAGAUUGUGGAUGCGCAGUUGUAUGAGAAUAAUUUCAGUAGAGGAGGAAACUAUAUGGAGAGGAGCAAGCAAGAAGCUUCACCCGAGAAAGUAAAUUCAUCUUACUGUCAGCAGAAAGAAUAAGUCUGAUAAGAAGAAAGAAGGUGAUGAUGAUGAGAUCAACAGCAGAUUGAGUUUGGGAACACUUUCCUUCCAGCCUAACUUCCUGUUUCCGGUUUAGGUAAUGUUAAUCUUUGCUCGAUUUGAUUUAAUAUGUAUGUGGUGAUGUCCUAUUUUGUUGCAUAUGGCUGACAUCAUCUGAUUGCUUUCAUCUUCUCCUCUUGAAGAAUAGCAUUUUUUUUUGUCAGAUUGAUUGAGCUUAGAAUCAUUAUUUUGUUUCCUCAUGUAUUCGUAUAAUGAUUUGUAUUCUCUAUUUUCGUUACAUGUAAUAUUAAAUUUCAAUUUUUCAGGCAUAAAGUUAAAUGUAAUAGUUAACAUUGGUGAUUCUUUCUGAAUCUCCAAAAAAUUCAUAAUUUUCUCAGCAGAUUCUUGAAAAUGAUCCCUAAUAAGUCUCAGAUCUGCGAUGGCUACUUCAUAAAAUCAAUUGAAGGAGACAUGCUGGAUUAUCUUUAAACAAUAAAGCAUCUUUUGCUUUCCAUUUUUCAUAUUUUUGUAUUUAGCCAAUAUCAUACGUCUCACUUAUUUCAGGUACGUUCACCUAGAACCUGAGAUUUACCUGGAUCCAAAGAAAUAUGAGCCUUCAAGAUGGGAGGUAUGUAGAUAUACCAGAUUUGUGGUGCAUUCAACAAUUAAACUCUCUUUGUAAUUUGUAGUUGUUGUUGCAAAAGAGUAGCUAAACACGGUCAAGUUCAUUCUACAAGGAUACAUGCCAAAACCAGGUACAUUCCUUCCUUUUCAUUUAUGAAGCGAUCUUUGUGCCGGGAACGAUCUUGCGAAGCUCGAGAUUUCCAUUUUUCUUCAUCUUUGACCACUGAAGAUGGGGUUAGCUACUGUCGCUUUGAAGCUGUGGGUUAUGACUUCAACACUAUCCAGCUGAAUCAGCUGGUGAGAAGGCUUCUGUCUUGCUUUGAUCCCAACAAAUUCUCUGUAGAGUGUCGCUGUGAGCGCGUACAAGCCGGAAAUUAGUGUAUACUUGGAAGAUUAUGGGUUUAGAGAGAGGACAUUUGAGUCUCUAGGAGAAGAGGGUAGACCAGUGAUGUAUCAUACGUUUGAGAAGCUUGGCAAGUAGUGUGCGUCGCCUAGAUCCACCUUGAAGUAGGACUGGAGCAGGCUGAGCAGCAAUAACAAAGGGACACGAGGGAAUCUAGCAGAAUUUUAUCUAAACUAUUUUCGAUCUUUUUGUUUUUGCAUUUUUUAAAGUAGUGAAUAAUGAUUUCUGAAAUUAAGGUAUUCCGUUCACAAGCAUGUGUGUUGUACAAUUUCGCUUUAAUACAGUAUAUGGAAUACUAUUAUGAUU
Brassica napus (rape) is the source of this 3834-nucleotide long non-coding RNA. RefSeq lists it as uncharacterized. NCBI's taxonomy places the organism in Eukaryota, Viridiplantae, Streptophyta, Magnoliopsida, Brassicales, Brassicaceae. The record is from RefSeq and is a predicted model, not a curated record. The transcript is spliced from 2 exons.